UUGCGAUGGUCCCUGCGGAUGC
This 22-nucleotide small RNA is filed under the name Arabidopsis thaliana (thale cress). RNAcentral's name for it is "AGO1_5227". Lineage: Eukaryota; Viridiplantae; Streptophyta; Magnoliopsida; Brassicales; Brassicaceae. The record is from RNAcentral.